UUCAUUGAUAUAAUAUCACCCUGCUGCCCAAUACCGGUUACUCACUAAAGUUAAGCAGGGCUGUGCCUGGUCUGUAUCUGGAUGGGAGACCACUAGGGAAAACUAGGUUGCUGUUGGAA
Danio rerio (zebrafish) is the source of this 119-nucleotide ribosomal RNA. The record is from Ensembl. NCBI's taxonomy places the organism in Eukaryota, Metazoa, Chordata, Actinopteri, Cypriniformes, Danionidae.